This 107-nucleotide ribosomal RNA is filed under the name Felis catus (domestic cat). The record is from RNAcentral. Lineage: Eukaryota; Metazoa; Chordata; Mammalia; Carnivora; Felidae.
GUCUACGGCCAUACCACCCUGAACGCGCCCGAUCUCGUCUGAUCUCGGAAGCUAAGCAGGGUCGGGCCUGGUUAGUACUUGGAUGGGAAAAUCCAAGUACUUGGAUG